Fundulus heteroclitus (mummichog) is the source of this 102-nucleotide small nucleolar RNA. Lineage: Eukaryota; Metazoa; Chordata; Actinopteri; Cyprinodontiformes; Fundulidae. The record is from Ensembl.
CUGCAGUGACGACACAUGUGCUGACUGAUCUGGUAUUGCCUCCCUCUGGGGAGAGCUCUGACCAGGGAAUGAUCUCACUCAGUCAAUCUUCUCUCUGAGCAG